RNAcentral lists this ribosomal RNA (273 nucleotides) under uncultured Prevotella sp. RNAcentral's name for it is "partial 16S ribosomal RNA". It matches the Rfam family "Bacterial small subunit ribosomal RNA", at positions 67 to 339 of the family's 1533-position model. Lineage: Bacteria; Pseudomonadati; Bacteroidota; Bacteroidia; Bacteroidales; Prevotellaceae. The record is from RNAcentral.
AUCGAAAGCUUGCUUUUGAUGGGCGUCGACCGGCGCACGGGUGAGUAACGCGUAUCCAACCUGCCCAUCACUUGGGGAUAACCUUGCGAAAGUAAGACUAAUACCCAAUGAUAUCUCUAGAAGACAUCUGAAGGAGAUUAAAGAUUUAUCGGUGAUGGAUGGGGAUGCGUCUGAUUAGCUUGUUGGCGGGGUAACGGCCCACCAAGGCGACGAUCAGUAGGGGUUCUGAGAGGAUGAACGGCCACACUGGAACUGAGACACGGUCCAAACUCC